This is a non-coding RNA of Suricata suricatta (meerkat), 370 nucleotides long. The record is from the annotation of a RefSeq genome assembly. Lineage: Eukaryota; Metazoa; Chordata; Mammalia; Carnivora; Herpestidae.
AUGGAGUUUGUGCUUGGCUGGGUUUUCCUUGUUGCUGUUCUAAAAGGUGUCCAGUGUGAGGUGCAGCUGGUGGAGUCUGGGGGAGGCCUGGCGAAGCCUGGGGGCUCCCUGCGACUCUCCUGUGCAGCCUCAGGAUUCAACUUUGGAAGCUACUACAUGCACUGGGUCCGCCAGGCUCCAGAGAAGGGACUGGAGUGGAUUGCAGCAAUUGGUAGUAGUGGAAGCACAUACUACGCAGAUUCCGUGAAGGGCCGAUUCACCAUCUCCAGGGACAACGCCAAGACAACAGUGGAUCUGCAGAUGAACAGCCUGAGGCUCGAGGAUACGGCCACGUAUUUCUGUGCGAAGGACACAGUGAGGGGACAUCACU